Molecule: unclassified non-coding RNA, 246 nt
Filed under: uncultured Pluteus
Lineage: Eukaryota; Fungi; Basidiomycota; Agaricomycetes; Agaricales; Pluteaceae
Description: sequence contains ITS1
Source: RNAcentral
GUGAAUAAAUCUGUGUGGGUUGUUGCUGACUCUUCGGAGUAUGUGCACACUUGCCAGUUUCAUUCAUCCCUUCCACCUGUGCACUCUCUGUAGAUCAUCUUAUUGUAUUUGAUAUGCCCUCUGGGUGUGUCAGUGUGAGGACGUGCUCUUCUUGCUGUCCUUGGAUGAGGUGGUCUAUGUCUUUAUCAACUCUGUAUGUUAUUGAAUGUCUGUUCUGGGUUCUAUACAGACCCAUAAAACCUUAUA